CCUACGGGGGGCUGCAGUGGGGAAUAUUGGACAAUGGGCGAAAGCCUGAUCCAGCCAUGCCGCGUGUGUGAAGAAGGCCUUCGGGUUGUAAAGCACUUUCAGUGGGGAAGAAAGCCUUGGGGCUAAUACCCUCGAGGAAGGACAUCACCCACAGAAGAAGCACCGGCUAACUCCGUGCCAGCAGCCGCGGUAAUACGGAGGGUGCGAGCGUUAAUCGGAAUUACUGGGCGUAAAGCGCGCGUAGGCGGUCUGAUAAGCCGGUUGUGAAAGUCCCGGGCUCAACCUGGGAACGGCAUCCGGAACUGUCAGGCUAGAGUGCAGGAGAGGAAGGUAGAAUUCCCGGUGUAGCGGUGAAAUGCGUAGAGAUCGGGAGGAAUACCAGUGGCGAAGGCGGCCUUCUGGACUGACACUGACGCUGAGGUGCGAAAGCGUGGGUAGCAAACAGGAUUAGAUACCCUAGUAGUC
This 465-nucleotide ribosomal RNA is filed under the name Vreelandella stevensii. RNAcentral describes it as "partial 16S ribosomal RNA". It matches the Rfam family "Bacterial small subunit ribosomal RNA", at positions 338 to 795 of the family's 1533-position model. Lineage: Bacteria; Pseudomonadati; Pseudomonadota; Gammaproteobacteria; Oceanospirillales; Halomonadaceae. The record is from RNAcentral.